CGCGGCCUAUCAGCUUGUUGGUGGGGUAGUGGCCUACCAAGGCGACGACGGGUAUCCGGCCUGAGAGGGUGACCGGCCACACUGGGACUGAGACACGGCCCAGACUCCUACGGGAGGCAGCAGUGGGGAAUAUUGCGCAAUGGGCGAAAGCCUGACGCAGCGACGCCGCGUGGGGGAUGACGGCCUUCGGGUUGUAAACCCCUUUCAGGAGGGAAGAAAAUGACGGUACCUCCCCAAGAAGCCCCGGCCAACUACGUGCCAGCAGCCGCGGUAAUACGUAGGGGGCAAGCGUUGUCCGGAAUUAUUGGGCGCAAAGAGCUCGUAGGCGGCUCAGCAAGUCGGCUGUGAAAUCCCGAGGCUCAACCUCGGAACUGCAGUCGAUACUGUUGUGGCUAGAGUCUGGUAGAGGAGAAUGCAAUUCCCCGGUGUACCGCCGAAAUGCGCAGAUAUCCGGAGGAACACCCGUAGCCCAGCGGGCUCUCCUGGGUCCGUACUGACUUCGACGAGCGAAAGCGUGUCGAUCCAACAGAAUUUCCAUACCCUGGUAGUCCACGCCGUAAACGUCGGGUACUCAGGUGUGGCCUCUCGAUCCACGGACGCCCGCGUCGACGCUAACGCCUUAAGUACCCCGCCUGGGGAGUACGG
RNAcentral lists this ribosomal RNA (645 nucleotides) under uncultured Actinomycetes bacterium. RNAcentral's name for it is "bacterial SSU rRNA". It matches the Rfam family "Bacterial small subunit ribosomal RNA", at positions 232 to 885 of the family's 1533-position model. The record is from RNAcentral. Lineage: Bacteria; Bacillati; Actinomycetota; Actinomycetes.